RNAcentral lists this small RNA (148 nucleotides) under Pongo abelii (Sumatran orangutan). Its description in RNAcentral is "Metazoan signal recognition particle RNA (ENSPPYG00000041290.1)". Lineage: Eukaryota; Metazoa; Chordata; Mammalia; Primates; Hominidae. The record is from Rfam by way of RNAcentral.
GCCGGGCAUGGUGGUGCACGCCUGUAAUCCCACCUACUCAGGAGGCUGAGGCAGAAGAAUUGCUUGAACCCAGGAGGCGGAGGUUGCAGUGAGCUAAGACAGCGCCACUGCACUCCAGCCUGGGCAACAAAGUGAGACUCUGUCUCAA